UCUCAGACCACAUUCCUCUGGCCCAACCUCGCUGGCAACGUACCCUGUGUGCUUGUACCGAAUUAGUCCUUUACAAUAGUCCCAGGAGAGAGAGAGAGAGAGAGAGAGAGAGAGAGAGAGAGAGAGAGAGAGAGAGAGAGAGAAGAGAGAGAGAGAGAGAGAGAGAGAGAGAGAGAGAGAGAGAGAGAGAGAGAGAGAGAGAGAGAGUGAGAGAGAGAGAGAGAGAGAGAGAGAGAGACUAAUUGUUAGCUUUUCCUCUCUUUUGCGUUCAAUGUAUAAACUAUGUCUGAUGGCCGAGUGAAGCCAGUGAACCUGGGGAAUCGAGUCCGCCGCCCUGCGUGUAAGAAGACAGAGCUUUCUGAGGCGGGUGAAAGUCUUUUGGAUCGGAGUAAACAACAUUCCAGCUUGGAGAACCGUGUUUGGAACUGCUUACGAUUCUCCUUCAGUCUGUCAGCCAGAACUGGAGCCGUUCUUCUCUCUUUGUCUUUAAACAGCUGAGCGGUCCCGAGGCGUAACCCAACGUCUUCAUCAUCAGACAGCGGACACGGACCAGGCCCGACCGCAGGGUUGAAGAGCGCUGACCUCGGCAGGACUCCUCGUAUCCACGCCCUGCUCCGCGACCCCCCCCCCCCCCCCAACAGGGGUACCCCACAUUCGAGAUGCAUUUGGGAUGAACCGGGGCGGCGGUUAGCUCAGGAGGUCGAGAGAGUUGCUAGUAACCGGAAGGUAGUUCGAUCCCCGGCUGUGUUGAGGUGUCACUGAGCAAGACGCCUCCCCCUGACUGCUUGCUGUCGCCCUGCGUGGCUUUCUCCGGCGUCGGUGUGUCAACGGGGGAAUGAAUGGUUGUUAGUCGCUUCGGAUAAAAGCGUCAGCAAAAUCCCCUGAAUGUAAAAUGUAAUGAACCAAUAUUCAAGUUAGCGAGCCCCCAUGACCUACGCUUGUCCAUCGCUGUGCAGUGGAAAGAUGUAAUACAUUUAUCAUAUGAUAGAAAGAAAGAUAUGUAUAUAUGUAAUCCUACCAGGUGAGGUAUUUUCCAUGCAUACUUGGUUCAAACCAAAAACGUAAUUUGCCAAACGUUCUUCGGGUGGGGGGGUUGGGGGUUUAUUUUUUAUCCCUCCAAAGAUUGCUUGAUAUUAAUCUAUGAAUAAAUGCACAGUUGAUAAAUAAUAAGUCAAAAAUACAGCACAGUGUUGUUGUGUUUACAGCCCAGUGGACGGUCAGAGCGUGCCCGGCUCUCUCCAACGCAUCACGCAACGACUGUAACCACCUGCACAAUUCAUUAGCUCACGUGGAAUUAGUUCCACAUGUAAGGAUGCACUCCCACAAAUGGUGUGGCCUAUAAAAGCGGGGAAGACUUGGCAUGCCGUUGUGUGAAAGAAGGCGAUGAAGUUCUGUAGAAAGAAAAGGGGGGGAGAGGAAAAAUAGCAGUUGGGCAGAGGAAAAAGUGAAGUGAAGUGAAGUGCUUUUAGUUUUAGAGCCUCCUCCAUAAAAAUGUCAUCGUUCAAGACGACAGGAAACUAAGAGAAAAUAUUAUGCCUUUUCCGAGUUGAGGGUCACCAGCAUCCAAUUAACACCAUUAGAAGAUAUAUGACAAAGUAUAUCCGCACAGUUUGACACCUUGAACCUUGAAACUUGAGAUAAAACGCUGUUUAUGUACGUUGUUUGUUGAGGUACAUAAUACACUUGAUGUUGUUUUUGCCCUACUUCAGCGGAAAUAGUACUUGGGCAAAGGGCAAGCCGCAGAACCCAUUGCCUUCUAUAAAGGCCUUUACACAGAAAGCCGUUUAAAUGUUAAAUCAGGCUCCGGGGUUAAUUUGCCCAAGAGUCAUCUGUUUAAAUGUUAAAGCGUUCUUAAACUAUUAGCACAAAUUGAAGUGUGGGAUGUCGUUUGGGAUGUUUGUUUUAUGGCCCACCCUGGCCAUGUGACUCACUAACGCCACCCUACCAGGGUAUUUUGCCCUGCAAUCAGUAGCCGGUCUCGGGGAUGACCUAUGAAUGGGACGAAGGAAGGGGAAAGCAAUAUGAGGGCAAGAUAGUCUUGUAGGGAUUAAGGUGUUUUCGACACCCUGCCACAAGGUCCGGGGUUCGAUCCUCAAAAUUAAAUGAAUCUGGAUCUUAAGUCACUUUGUGCAAAUCUGUUGGCUAAACAACUCUGUGAAUGGUAACCUAUACUGGUAAUGUCUAAUGUAAAAUGAGGUGGUUAGUGUUUGUUUGUUGAGUGUUUCCUGAUGAUUCAAUGUAUUAAUACUUUUCUUUCCUCUAAAAGGAACCCGUUUCCUGAUCCUUGUCCCUUGGAUUUAUUUAUUAUUGUGAGAGCACAAGCAUAAAUCAGGGGCAAAUCAAUCCCUGAUGUUCCACUAAAGAGCUGGAGAGAAGGUCCCCUCUUCUGUGGGACAGAGCGGCACAGGGUCUGUUCUUCUGAGGAACAAAUAGGUAGCCUACUGGUUCUGUUCUUCAGAGAAACAAACAGGGACUUGGUCUGUUCUUCUGAGGAACAAACAGGGACCGGGUCGGUUCUUCUGUGGAACAAAUUUGCCACUUCAUCCUAGCAUAUAGCUAAUGUAAUAAAGCCUUGCCCAUUACAUUUUACUCAUUCACGAAAUGGCAGAACAUUAUACAUGGACUCGUUUAAAGGUUGCGUGUGUAGAGUUUAUUGGCAUCUAGCGAAACGGACUUGGCAGGAGCAUAGUAUAAUAAUAUUCAUAAGUAUUUUUUAAUUAGUGUACACUCCCAUGGAAAUAAGAAUUGGCGUGUUUUCAUUAGCUGAGAAUGAGCCCUUUAUAUCUGCAUAGGCAGCUGUCAUGUUGCACCGCCAUGUUUCUACUGUAGCCCAGAAAGGACAAACUACACUAGCAUGAACAUGGGCUAAGAGUUCUAGGAAGGAGGGGGCCAUGAGAUCCCAAUGGCUACGACCCAUUUGUGAUACCUAUUUAGCAAUAAUUGAUUGCAUUCAUAUAGCGCUCUUCAACGUCCCGAAAGUACUCUUACAUAGUGAGUAUGUAUGUGUAUGUGGUUGUGGAUCUUGAAUACAUUCAUGUUUUGUAGACAUUGUUUUUGGAGGUUGUUUCCCUGCUCAAUAACUAACAGUUGGCUAUCACUCUUAUGGAGAAAGUUGGUAUCCAAAACAAAACGGUUGCUAUUACAACUGCACACGAAUAUGUUAUCAAAAGCAGCCUUUGAUACCUUAGAAAGAUACCCGCUUGUAAUUAAUGUGCUUUUUCGCAGUAUCUGUAGGUCCAUGGUUCUAGUUUUAGCUUAAUUGUAUCGAUGUGGGGAAAAAGGGCAAUGAGAAAUCAUGUUCAAUGUACGGACCUUUACUUGUUAGCAAUGACUUAUGGUUUUAGAUUAACAGACUAAAUAACUAAAUACAAUUCACGAAUAACUAAAGGACCCAGCCCCAUUUGACCCUUGACUACUCUAUGCUUUCCUAGACGAUGACAUCAUUUUGAAAGUACCUGCCGGUCCCCAACACAACACAGGCUAGUACACCCCAGUGUAAACAUUGGAAGGGGUGGGUUGAGGUGGUGGUGGUGGGGGGUAUUUAUUAAUA
Molecule: long non-coding RNA, 3550 nt
Organism: Gadus macrocephalus (Pacific cod)
Lineage: Eukaryota; Metazoa; Chordata; Actinopteri; Gadiformes; Gadidae
Exons: 3
Source: RefSeq, a predicted model, not a curated record